RNAcentral lists this ribosomal RNA (253 nucleotides) under uncultured bacterium. Its description in RNAcentral is "partial 16S ribosomal RNA". It matches the Rfam family "Bacterial small subunit ribosomal RNA", at positions 524 to 776 of the family's 1533-position model. The record is from RNAcentral.
UACGUAGGGGGCUAGCGUUGUCCGGAAUCAUUGGGCGUAAAGAGCGUGUAGGCGGUCCGGUAAGUCCGCUGUGAAAGUCGGGGGCUCAACCCUCGAAUGCCGGUGGAUACUGUCAGGCUAGAGUGCGGAAGAGGCGAGUGGAAUUCCUGGUGUAGCGGUGAAAUGCGCAGAUAUCAGGAGGAACACCUAUUGCGAAGGCAGCUCGCUGGGACGUAACUGACGCUGAGACGCGAAAGCGUGGGGAGCAAACAGG